GGCAGGUCUUCGAUUCGCCCAGUCUACAAAAUUUAUUAAUUUCUUGACCAAUCACAGACCAGUAAUCUUUUUCACCUGUGUUGGGCACGCGUUUGUUAGCUUUUCCAGACCACGGCAUUGCCAUGCGAUUCUUGAUUCAUGCGAGACCGUAACCGCUUCGUCUCGCACCGCCGAACGCAAGGGACAAUGGUUGCCGACGAGAGACGCCAAUCUUUACCGUAGCCGUAGGUGUUUCACGAUAACGUCCGGCGAGACAGACGACAAGCCCUGCUUAUCUAUCGGUGGCGAGACAGUUGACAGUUUUCCGAUGCCGGAAAAAAAAUCUACCGGUACUUCACGACACGUUCCGGGAGACGUCGGGAGAAUCUUCGGGUUCUGAUCUUUGAGGACAUCCGCGGUGCUCAAAACAACAGACUGACGACUAUGCCUUUCCCGGACAUUUGACAAGAAGUCGUGACUGCAGAAUCAGUGCACAGUUUUGAAGCACGGUUCCAGGACCUGUGCUGGGGGAAGAAGAAGAACUGUGUGUGACAGGAGGGUGACAGGACAGGCAGCAAAGCCUAAUUCACCAAGGAAUCCUGCACGAUAUCCCCCACAAGCAAAAUUCAUGUCUGGACGCACUAAGAGAGGAGCUGGAUAAGGGAGGUGCCACGCAGCAGCGUCACUAGCUGUUUCUCGACAUCAGUGCAUGACCAAGCCAAGGCGGCACCAAG
Molecule: long non-coding RNA, 713 nt
Organism: Branchiostoma floridae (Florida lancelet)
Lineage: Eukaryota; Metazoa; Chordata; Leptocardii; Amphioxiformes; Branchiostomatidae
Exons: 4
Source: RefSeq, a predicted model, not a curated record